CAGAGCAGUCGUGGCCAGAUAGAGUUCUCCACGGGCUCAGAGAAGAUGGAUGAAGCACAAACUAGAGGCUCUUCCCUAUCACUGACGUCUCCAAAUCUUAACUAGACAGAGAAAAGAAAAAUUGCUUUCUUGGCAUGUACCUAUUUAAACACCUUGGCACAAACCCCAAUUCAGAAAGCCUACAGAGCCAAUCCACAUGUAUCCCAUGAAGGGAACAUUUCCCCCUUCAAACCUAUCUGAUGAGUAAAAGCAAUGGAACCAGUCCAAACACUGGAGGUUUGACCCGUGAGCUCCAGAGCCUUCUGCAGGCUGGUAAUGGCUGUUUACAAAAGCAUUUUACAACAGUGAAUUGUUACUCUGGAGAACUGCCUGGAGUUGUGAACCAGCCCUGGGAGAAGCUUACAAGGGAGAAAGCAGCUGAGAAGUGAUGUUACCUGAUUCUGAAGAUCUUCUAUUUCUUUGUAAUAGCAGCUGUAGUCCCGGGGCUCACAAAAAGGGCCCUGCUUGGCAUACCACUCCCUGAUUCUGCACUCCAGGUCCGCGUUUUCUUGUUCCAGGCAUCUCACCUUGUCCAGGUAAGAAGCCAGGCGGUCAUUAAGGUUCUGCAUGGUGACCUUUUCGUCACCAGAAAGAAGAAUGCCAUCACCAGCAAAACCACCUCCAACUACCCCUCCACCAAGACCCAUACCAAUGCCACCUCCCAUGCCACCGCCAAAGCGAGCGCUGCCACCGCUGAAUCCCAUGCCUGGACAUCCUCCGAGGACAGCGGCUCCUAAGCCACCUCCGAAGUUUCCACCAACCAAACUGCCGGUGCUCAGUCCUCCUCCAUAAUUCACACCACCACAGUAGCUUCUACCAGAAAACCCUCGGCCACCACCUAUCCCACAAGUGGUGUAUCUUCCAGAAGAGACUGAGGAGAUCCGUGCUCCUCCACCACCACCACCGCCACCAAUCACACAGCUGCCCCCGCUGGUCCUGCCCCUGAGAGAGCCAGUUGUCUGCUUAAUACUACAACUCAUUUUGAGGACAGCUGCAGCUCCAACCCAAAGCCCAAAGCAAGAUGCACAGCUUGAUAUUGAAUCAGACUGCAGGUUGGUUGUUGCCGCAGAUCUCUAUUUAUACCUUCCAAAGGGGGUGUCACCUAAAGGGUGUUUCUUCUUCCCACGGGGCUGGCUAGUCUUGCUGUUUAUGCCAAGAAUAAAUAGCCCAUAGGCAGUUUCCCUCUAGAAAUCCCAGUUCACAAGGAAGAUACUUUACAUGUCAGCAGCUUAUUCCAAAAAGUAAAAUAAUGUUUUAUGAGUCAUCAGCUUUUUGUAUGAUGCAAACUUUACAACAAGUCAAGAAAAAAAGUUGCCCUAGAUUAUGUACAAAGCAGAAACAUGGUAUUUAUAACAUCAAAGUGCCUUUUAUCUCUAUUAAUUUGUAUUUAUUUUAUUCUUAGUCCAAUAAACAGUUUUGUAGCCUGUGCUAUGCUAGACUACAUGGAACAAAAAUGGGAAAUUAUAAAUUCUCACUUCUGAAAAGUGUAACAGUGACAGCAGCAGUGAAAAGACCAGGGAUCCCAUGGUGCAGGUGUCUGUCACCUGGCACAAGGACACACAGGUCUAACACAGGCUCCACUGUGAGACUUCUUAAAUCUCAGAGGAAAUUCCCCCGUGGGUUUAGUUCUCUGGUUGUGCAAACCCAAAAAGUCAACUUGCUCACAGUGUGUGGAGCUCAGGCCUGCUGAGUGUUGGAAGUCCUUGUUCCUGGAUGUGCAUGAAGUACCUCUCUGAAGUUAGUUUUCAGUUCCUUUAAUUGCUGUCCAUGCUGCCUCAGACUGUGAUGAUUGUAGAUAAAGAGAUGACAGGACAGGGAGUAUCCAUGGGCGAUAUAUCCAGUUCCCAGCCUGGACUGGGAUGUGAGCCCACAGGUCUUUGCAUCGCCAAGAUGGUGCUGAGCACAAUAUAAGGAGCAAAGCUUUCUGCCUUUCUGAUCUGAGUGCAGCAGCAGGAUUGGCACAGCUUGGCUGGUCAUGGGAAAACCAUCUCCAAAACCAGGCAGCGGCCAGAGGAGCAUUCAGAGAACAGGCUCCACCAGUGCGAGUAUCUUUCCCCUCGUUACUGCUGUAACAAGAGGAUAUUCUGCUCUCCAGGGAAUGGAGGCUUCUCUUCCCCACGGGCUGGAAUUUUCAAGCAACUCUUACUCACAAGUGACCUUUGACUCAAGUACGUCCAUAUACAGGAGCAGUUGUGAUAAAUCCUCUGUGAGUGUGACCUGACGGGGAGCCCUGAGUGCAGCCGUUACCUCCCAGGAGGGGCAGAGGAAAUCUCUGCUCACACCUCAGCCCCCUCUCCUUUCCCAGCGGGAAGCUGGGUGGCUCCUGUCACCAUGAGAGGACAGUGUCCCCAAGCAUAUACAAAUGUGAUCAUCUUCUCACCAGCUCAAGUGAGGACUCUCCACUCUCCGGUGAGAUUAUUUCUUUCUUGGCUUAGAUCAGAAAUGAUAAAAAGGCGCCUACCCAAGGCUGGCAGCACCUUGGAAUAUUCAUGAUUCUGAUGGUGUAGGGAAAUAACUUGCUCAAGGACAGAGCUGGAGUCUGGCAGAGCUCAGAUCCUGGCUGAGACUGCAAUGCCUGAAAUACAAGUCCAUCCUCCCCCUGCAAACACAUCCCCACACAGCCGAGACUCGCCACGGUGAAAAUCAGGAGCAGAAGGAGAAUGGGGAAUAAAUCUGGCUUUCAUCUGUCUUUUUGAGGAAUAUAAUUGGAGACAGGGUGUGUCUGUAAGAGCCAACAGAAAUUAAUAUAAUGUCUGGAUUGCUUGGAGCUUUGCUCUGCUGUGGAGGCUUUCACAAGUUACCUAAUAGCAACCUACAGCGAGCACUGCUCACUGACUCUCCUUUUAGAGUCAGGUUUAGGAUGGGAUAUUGCAGAUGUCGGAUGAUCUCUCCAGGUGGGCAAGGAACACCUCCACCUCCUUGUUUCAGCAGUUCCAAAGCAAGAAGGAAUAAGUCUUGCUCCACAACCAAAGUGGUUUGCAGCAUCCUACAACUUUCUACGUACCUCCUGGUGGAAAGGUCCACAGGCUGCAAAUACACAAUUCUUCUGAAGUACUCGUGUUUGGGAUAUAAUGACAGCCUUUGGAGUUUUACUGGGCUCCUGCCAGUUUCACUGGGACGUGGCACAUCCAGAAGCCAGGCCCAGACUGUAGUUUCGAACCAAUAAGGGUUACCUUGCCCUGGCUGCAUGGCUGCAGCUCUGUCUGCUCAAGCACUUGGGAUAUUGCCUUGCUCCAUAUGACCACAGCCUGGGCAGAGGUGUGUGUGUGUGUCUUCUGACUGGGGGGUUCUGCUUUCUGUAGCUGUGAGACACCAUCUUGUCCUGUUCCAUCAGCACUGGCUGUGCUCCCCACUAAACUGAUUUCUUUGCCUCCACUUUUGUAACCAUUUGUAUUCCCAUAGCUCAGGGGCACAGCCUUGGGGCAGAGCUCUGUGUAGGAAAGGACUGUGCAAGCUGAAGACAGAAAAAUGUCCCCAAAGGAUUUGCAACCUAAAUGUCAGAGAGGAGGAAACAAACGGUUUCAUACAGAUGGAAGUAAAGGAAGUGGUGUCAGGCUGUUAUCCAGGCCGAGCAGCAGUGGUCUGUGUCACACAAACACUGUGAAGUCUUGUGGGCAUUAUGGAGAAGAGGGAUCUGGAAGUGGAGCAAGAGGUACCAAGUGUGAAUAUGGACACAUGGCGAUGGGCAGCUCAGGAGGAGACAGGAGGAGACUCUGUGGGCAGUGGAGUUGGGUCCUGUGGGAGCUGCAACUGUCCCUGUGCCCAGCCUGGGUGCAGAGCAUCAACUCUCCCACUCUGCUCGCUUCUCUUAUCAAGGUUGAUAAUGUUUUCUUGUGUCAACUACAAGAAAGGUGUGUCUAAUUUGACAGAGCUUUGCUUUCAUAAGCAUUGCUUCGGUGAUGUUUGUGCAACCACACUGGAAUAUGAUUUUAUCUUGUCACUUGUAAUUACUAUUAAUAAUUUGCAUAAUAGCCAUUGGGCAUCACUUAUUAAACACUGCUUUGAUGUGAUACUGAACUGGCUCCAGACCUCAUGCUCCCAUCUUUCAAAUGCAGACCAUGACUUUUUUCUGGCCAGUGACUCAUUGGUUUAUACCACCAUGGUUAGCAAACUCCUGUAAGGCAAGAGAAGUAAUUAUCACAAUGGGUUUGGUAACAGCAUGAUCCCAGCUCUUAAAUACGCCUCAGAGACCAAGGUGAUGACUCUGUUUCAGCUUCUUGCUGACUGUUCACAUCUUCACACUACCUCUGAGCAUUUGCUAGUGGUGAAGUAGAAGUUCAGCAGAACAUGCAGGUGGACAGAACCAGAUUUCUUCCUACUGAAGCUCACAAUGUUCCCUGAUUCAUUUUGUGAAGGGUUUUCAUUUCCUUCCAGCACCUACCAGAUGAUACCAGUGUAGCCAGACUUCCCUCAUUUGCAUCCCUGGAAGCGCUGCUGAUUAUCAUGGCAAAGAAGAGUACCAGGGAAUUUGUACUGGGACAGAUUUGAAUACUGAUGGAAGAACCUAAACUCCAGCAGUUCCCCUCCUGCAGGGGCAGCUCAGUGCAGUGAAGCUCAGGAGGAGAAAUGGCUUCAGCCCAUGGUCCCUGCACCAGAGCCACGGGGGUCAAACCAGGAGCUGCCAAGAGAAUGGGAACAUUCAGGUGCCUCCUGCACCCAGACACUACAGAGGGGCAGCAGAGACAGGCAGCCAGGACAGCAGCCAGCCACAGCCUCCCCAGGCUGGCUUCAUCUUUAUCUCGUACUUGUACUAAAACGUCUCUAAAUUUCAAUAUACUUUCAACGUAAGGCUCAUAGUGGCAGUUUAAAUUACAUUAUUCAGGGUACUGAGCUGAGAAAUCUGCAUGGUUACAGCAGUAGUUUACUCCUCUAUAUAGUUUUUAUGAAUGUUACACAAGCCAGUAAAAAAUGUAAACCCCACAGACAGUUACUGUGGGUGUGAGACUGUAUCUGUCUAUAUACUUUAUAUAGUAGACUUUAUAGAGAAAUUAUAGUUUAUACGCCACAGCAGAGUACUAUCAUCAGCUCUAACUGCUUGUACAGCACAGCCCUGAACUCACAGCUCAUUUCCAGCACUGGCAUUUUGCAGAACUGGUUGGUUUCUUUCUGUUUCUUUUCUGUCUUCAUCCUUUAGGGUAUGUUCAGUCCUAAGGGACCUUUUCUGAUGGUGCUGUACUUCCCAUGUGUCUUCCCCAUACCACAGUCUGUAUCUGCCUGAGCAAUCACAAGCUGUGUUUCAUCUGCAGCCCUGGCUGUGAUGCUGAGAGCUUCUGCCAUUAGCCCAAGUGCUGAAAGAACUCCCCUUUGAGAUCCUCAUUUGCUCUUGCUGCACAAGAUUUGCACAUUAAAAGAGAAGAGAA
Molecule: long non-coding RNA, 5399 nt
Organism: Melopsittacus undulatus (budgerigar)
Lineage: Eukaryota; Metazoa; Chordata; Aves; Psittaciformes; Psittaculidae
Exons: 2
Source: RefSeq, a predicted model, not a curated record